This 105-nucleotide transfer RNA is filed under the name Coniochaeta sp. 2T2.1. It matches the Rfam family "tRNA". From Rfam's summary of the family: Transfer RNA (tRNA) molecules are approximately 80 nucleotides in length. Their secondary structure includes four short double-helical elements and three loops (D, anti-codon, and T loops). Lineage: Eukaryota; Fungi; Ascomycota; Sordariomycetes; Coniochaetales; Coniochaetaceae. The record is from Rfam by way of RNAcentral.
GGUCCCAUAGCUCAGUUGGUCAGAGCGUCGUACUAAUACUUUCAGUCCUCGGACGGUCAGCAUUGAGUAAUGCGAAGGUCGAGAGUUCAAGCCUCUCUGGGACCA